RNAcentral lists this ribosomal RNA (31 nucleotides) under Globodera rostochiensis. Its description in RNAcentral is "partial 18S ribosomal RNA". The record is from RNAcentral. Lineage: Eukaryota; Metazoa; Nematoda; Chromadorea; Rhabditida; Heteroderidae.
AUACUGUAGGUGACCUGCUGCUGGAUCAUUA